This 210-nucleotide small nucleolar RNA is filed under the name Carlito syrichta (Philippine tarsier). Its description in RNAcentral is "Small nucleolar RNA U3 (ENSTSYG00000021908.2)". It matches the Rfam family "Small nucleolar RNA U3". From Rfam's summary of the family: Small nucleolar RNAs (snoRNAs) are involved in the processing and modification of rRNA in the nucleolus. There are two main classes of snoRNAs: the box C/D class, and the box H/ACA class. Lineage: Eukaryota; Metazoa; Chordata; Mammalia; Primates; Tarsiidae. The record is from Rfam by way of RNAcentral.
AAGACUGUACUUUCAGGGAUCAUUUCUAUAGUUCGUUACUAGAGAAGUUUCUCUGAUCAUGUAGAGCACCAGAAACCACAAGGAGGAGGCACAGCAUUGUCUCCUGAGCAUGAAGCCGGCUCUUGGUGUUGCUUUGCUGCAGCUGCCAUUUGCCAUUGAUGAUCAUUCUUUUCUUCCUCUGAGAGAGUAAGAGGAUUCAGUCUGAGUGGU